GAUGAACGAGGGAGGAGGGAGGAACACAUGCAAGUCGAACGAGAAAUGGAGACGGAAACCUUCGGGCGGAAGGCUUCAUUUCGAGUGGCGGACGGGUGAGUAACGCGUGGGUAACCUGCCUCAUACAGGGGGAUAACAGUUGGAAACGACUGUUAAUACCGCAUAAGACCACAGCACCGCAUGGUGCGGGGGUAAAAACUCCGGUGGUAUGAGAUGGACCCGCGUUCGAUUAGCCAGUUGGCGGGGUAACGGCCCACCAAAGCGACGCUCGAUAGCCGAUCUGAGAGGAUGACCGGCCACAUUGGGACUGAGACACGGCCCAAACUCCUACGGGAGGCAGCAGUGGGGAAUAUUGCACAAUGGGGGAAACCCUGAUGCAGCGACGCCGCGUGAGUGAAGCAGUACUUCGGUAUGUAAAGCUCUAUCAGCAGGGAAGAAAAUGACGGUACCUGAGUAAGAAGCCCCGGCUCCCUACGUC
RNAcentral lists this ribosomal RNA (478 nucleotides) under uncultured bacterium. RNAcentral describes it as "partial 16S ribosomal RNA". It matches the Rfam family "Bacterial small subunit ribosomal RNA", at positions 28 to 507 of the family's 1533-position model. The record is from RNAcentral.